Molecule: small nucleolar RNA, 137 nt
Organism: Mastomys coucha (southern multimammate mouse)
Lineage: Eukaryota; Metazoa; Chordata; Mammalia; Rodentia; Muridae
Product: small nucleolar RNA SNORA17
Exons: 1
Source: RefSeq, a predicted model, not a curated record
ACAGCCCCUAGAGGUGUUGCAGAUGCGACUGCUGUGUCAUUUGUGUAGGUGGCAGAAAGAAGAGAAGCCAUGUCUACGCUCAGUGUUCUGACUUGCGUUGAGGUUUGGUCUUUGCUUGCAUUGUGAGGCUACCCAAC